This 468-nucleotide ribosomal RNA is filed under the name uncultured bacterium. RNAcentral's name for it is "partial 16S ribosomal RNA". It matches the Rfam family "Bacterial small subunit ribosomal RNA", at positions 28 to 507 of the family's 1533-position model. The record is from RNAcentral.
GACGAACGCUGGCGGCGUGCUUAACACAUGCAAGUCGAACGGAGAGGCCCUGCUUUUGUGGGGUGCUCGAGUGGCGAACGGGUGAGUAACACGUGAGUAACCUGCCCUUGACUUUGGGAUAACUUCAGGAAACUGGUGCUAAUACCGGAUAUUAGCUCCUGCCGCAUGGUGGGGGUUGGAAAGUUUAGGUGGUUGGGGAUGGUCUCGCGGCUUAUUAGCUUGUUGGUGGGGUAGUGGCUUACUACGGCUUUGACGGGUAGUCGGCCUGAGAGGGUGACCGGCGACAUUGGGCCUAGGAUACGGCCCAGAGUAGUACGGGAGGCAGUAGUGGGGAAUAUUGAACAAUGGGCGGGAGCCGGAUGCAGCGACGUCGCGUGCGGGAUGACGGCAUUCGGGUUGGAAACCGCUUUCGCCUGUGACGAAGCGUGAGUGACGGUAAUGGGUAAAGAGGCACCGGCUAACUACGUG